GAUGAACGCUGGCGGCGUGCCUAAUACAUGCAAGUCGAGCGAACAGACGAGGAGCUUGCUCCUCUGACGUUAGCGGCGGACGGGUGAGUAACGCGUGGAUAACCUACCUAUAAGACUGGGAUAACUUCGGGAAACCGGAGCUAAUACCGGAUAAUAUAUUGAACCGCAUGGUUCAAUAGUGAAAGACGGUUUUGCUGUCACUUAUAGAUGGAUCCGCGCCGCAUUAGCUAGUUGGUAAGGUAACGGCUUACCAAGGCGACGAUGCGUAGCCGACCUGAGAGGGUGAUCGGCCACACUGGAACUGAGACACGGUCCAGACUCCUACGGGAGGCAGCAGUAGGGAAUCUUCCGCAAUGGGCGAAAGCCUGACGGAGCAACGCCGCGUGAGUGAUGAAGGUCUUCGGAUCGUAAAACUCUGUUAUUAGGGAAGAACAAAUGUGUAAGUAACUAAGCACGUCUUGACGGUACCUAAUCAGAAAGCCACGGCUAACUACGUG
This 497-nucleotide ribosomal RNA is filed under the name uncultured bacterium. Its description in RNAcentral is "partial 16S ribosomal RNA". It matches the Rfam family "Bacterial small subunit ribosomal RNA", at positions 28 to 507 of the family's 1533-position model. The record is from RNAcentral.